CUGCCAGAGCAGAGGUGGUGGCCUGGCAGGGUAGAGGGCACGCCGACCUGGCGACCUCACGGUGGAAAGGGGAAGGGGAGCGAGAGGGCCCAGGGGAGGAGAUGGGACGGCGGCACGGCAUGAAGAGGAGCCGCCGAGGGUCAGGGUCAGCGAAGGGGCGGGCGAGUGGUGUCGCCGAGGGUCAUUCGGGGGGAUCGGUGGGGGCUGCCGCCAAGGGUUUAGGGUUAUGGGUGGGGUGGUUGUUUGGGUAGGCGUAGGGGGAGCGCAGCGGGGGGGGUAGCGGCAGGGUCAAGUUGGAGUAGCGCAUGGGCGGCAGGCGUGGGGCAGGUGUUAAAGCCGGUAGCCUAAGGCUCUCUAACAAAAACCACGCCAGCUAGCUCUGGCUUUAGACUCAAACGAACCGCCUCGGACCACUCCAGGAUACGACGGAAGGGUCCUACUUUCCGCCACAAGACGUAUCCGAGGAACAGUUGUUCGAUACGAACCCGGAAGACAAUCAAGAGGAGCAACACGGCUAACAGUAAAACAACGACCCGUGUUGAGGUCUUGUCGACUUUCAAGAGAGGGUUCCAGGUCGAAUAUUGCUGCUGUGAGUGUGCUCAUAUUGGUCUGCCUUGUUUACCUUGUUUCUAACAUUGAUACGUUUCCCAUUCACCCAUCGUCUACUCUUUGCCGGUGAGAUAAGUCCAUUACUCACGUUCGUUACCGACAGUUUUUACACCCGAACAGCUUACUACGUUGCGUGCCUAAAGAAGAUACUCUCAAUGGCCACCGUCGGCGUGCCAACACUCUACGGACUCAAAAGUCCCGGAUUGAACAACUCGUCCGACUCCGUAUUUUGAGAACGAAAACACCCACUAAGGGAGCCCUCUGUCGUUAAAGUCAGGUAGUACACAUAUCGUUGUUCACCAUUUAUGUCGGGUCUACAACUUCUACAACCAACCUUUAUACCGGAACAGUUUCGAGGUCCACGAAAUUCUGGACUACCCACCCGAAUAGCUAAAGGUCUCUGAUUGUGGUGAUAGGAAAUGAUGACCAGACGAUCGGAUAGACUUAACCUUGGAAACUUGUGUUGUUUUAGUCAUUGAUCGAUACGCAACGUAGAACUAGCCGGACAUUGUAAGGACUUCUUCAUAAAGGUACCAAAACUACAAGAUCAUGAAUUGUGUCCAGUAGUGACCUUGUCUCCCUUUAAGUUACCUUUAGUGACCCUUAACAUACGGUUACCCCUCGGACAUCCCUUUCCAUCUGAACGUCUAGAGUUGGCACGUUUCUUAGAAUGUGACAUAUCGUAACGGUCCACCCACCUAAGUCUUGAGCGUUCGGCAGGAGUCUACUUUCGAAAAGACUCCUGUUACAGUGGCUCCGUAAAACAUUUACCGCUAACCUUGUGACCACCUUCAACACCAUUAUCGCAAGGGAAAAGAUUACCUUCGCUCCAGAACGUCCUAGUAAGUUCACUGAACGGACGUCUCAAACGACAUUUACCUUGAGUCCAAUUCGAAAACCUAUAAUGACGAUAGAGUGUUGAUGCUCUACUCCCCGUAUAGAGUUUAGCAUGAAAGUCUCGAGGUUGUCCGUAAGUACUAACGAACGUGACCACGGAAGGACCAUAUGGUCUAUACACCUUACUCGAGGAGAAACGUGUCUAAAUCAUGGAAAUAUGACGUCGCCACAAAAACCAGUAGGUAGGUACGGAUCCACCAAUUUCCACAGUUCUACUAUCGUAAGAAAGGUCACAUAAAGAAAAGUCUAGAAUCGGGACAAAGUCUGGUCUACGCCUUAAUCGACGAUGUCUCGGUAUACAUCACGAGGGGUCGGGGUUCCGUGCAGUUUGGAAAAAGAAAAGACAUUUUACGGUGAUAUUAAGGUCAAAUGUUACACGUCGUAUAUAAGACAUUUUUACAAGUAUGUUCAACUGGUUUGACGAUAUAGAAGAAAAUCUAAUAUAUAUAUUUCACCUUGAAAACCAACUCAGAAUACAGGGGUUUGGAGAAUAGUGACACUAAUAGGUCACAUUAACUAAAUAGAAAGUCGUGG
RNAcentral lists this ribosomal RNA (2040 nucleotides) under Triticum aestivum (bread wheat). RNAcentral describes it as "partial small subunit ribosomal RNA". The record is from RNAcentral. Lineage: Eukaryota; Viridiplantae; Streptophyta; Magnoliopsida; Poales; Poaceae.